Molecule: ribosomal RNA, 63 nt
Filed under: Fusarium sp. F156
Lineage: Eukaryota; Fungi; Ascomycota; Sordariomycetes; Hypocreales; Nectriaceae
Description: partial 28S ribosomal RNA
Source: RNAcentral
UGUUGACCUCGGAUCAGGUAGGAAUACCCGCUGAACUUAAGCAUAUCAAUAGACCGGAAGAAA